RNAcentral lists this RNase P RNA (767 nucleotides) under Clostridia bacterium. Its description in RNAcentral is "RNase P RNA component class A". It matches the Rfam family "Bacterial RNase P class A". From Rfam's summary of the family: Ribonuclease P (RNase P) is a ubiquitous endoribonuclease, found in archaea, bacteria and eukarya as well as chloroplasts and mitochondria. Its best characterised activity is the generation of mature 5'-ends of tRNAs by cleaving the 5'-leader elements of precursor-tRNAs. Cellular RNase Ps are ribonucleoproteins. Lineage: Bacteria; Bacillati; Bacillota; Clostridia. The record is from RNAcentral.
UGAGUAAACCAGAUGAUCGCGGGCAUAAGCCGCAAGGCUGUGUCUGAGGAAAGUCCGGGCUCCAUAGGGCAGGGUGCUGGCUAACGGCCAGUGAGGGCAACCUCAAGGAAAGUGCCACAGAAAGAAACCGCCUAAAAGAGGUCCGAGGUUAGAGGUCAGAGGUAAGAAUAUGAUAAAGGAAUUUAAGGAUUUUGAAGUCUAUAAAGUUUCAUAUGACUUGGCUGUUAGACUUCAUAAGCUAUCUGCUGAACUGCCACAGAUUGAACAGUUUGAGUUAGGGAGGCAGCUUAGAAGAGCAGCCACUUCGAUUCCUUUGAAUAUUGCCGAGGGCUAUGGAAGAAAAAAGUCUACGGCUGAUUUUAAACAUUUUCUAUCUAAUGCGUUAGGUUCAUGUAAUGAGGUAAGAGUUCUUUUAGACUUAUUAAAAGAUCUUGGAUAUCUAGAAACAACAUUAUACAAUGAAUUUAGUAAUGCAUAUGAAAUAUUAGGUAGAAGACUAUAUACUCUGAUUGUUAAAUGGAAAUGAUCUGACUUCUGAUUUCUAACCUCUGACUUCUUUUAGGUAAGGAUGCAACGGUGCGGUAAGAGCGCACCAGUAGCUAGGCGACUAGCUAGCUAGGUAAACCCCACCUGGAGCAAGACCUAAUAGGGGAACAUAUGGAGUGGCCCGCUCCGUUCCCGGGUAGGUCGCAUGAGGUGCUAGGUAACUAGCAUCCCAGAUAGAUGAUCAUCCUACGACAGAACCCGGCUUACGGUUUAGUCAACUG